UAUGCUGAGAACUGAUAGCAAGCUGUACUUGUACAGUGAAGUGGCUGAUACCAUGCUUCCAGGAAAAGUCUCUAAGCUUCAGUUACAUAGGAAUCGUACCCGAAACCGACACAGGUGGUCAGGUCGAGUAGACCAAAGCGCUUGAGAGAACUCUGCUGAAGGAACUAGGCAAAAUGGUACCGUAACUUCGGGAGAAGGUACGCUGCCGACGGUGAUAGGAUUUACUCCUUGAGCUAUUGGCAGCCACAGAAACCAGGCCCCUGCAACUGUUUAUUAAAAACAUAGCACUCUGCAAACACGAAAGUGGACGUAUAGGGUGUGAUGCCUGCCCGGUGCUGGAAGGUUAAUUGAUGGGGUUAGCGUAAGCGAAGCUCUUGAUCGAAGCCCCAGUAAACGGCGGCCGUAACUAUAACGGUCCUAAGGUAGCGAAAUUCCUUGUCGGGUAAGUUCCGACCUGCACGAAUGGCAUAAUGAUGGGGGCGCUGUCUCCAGCAGAGACUCAGUGAAAUCGAAUUCGCCGUGAAGAUGCGGUGUACCCGCGGCUAGACGGAAAGACCCCGUGAACCUUUACUGCAGCUUGACAUUGAACUUUGAUCUUACUUGUGUAGGAUAGGUGGGAGGCUUUGAAACCGAGACGCUAGUUUCGGUGGAGCCAAUCUUGAAAUACCACCCUGGUAAUAUUGAGGUUCUAACUCUGUCCCGUAAUCCGGGACGAGGACCAUGUCUGGUGGGUAGUUUGACUGGGGCGGUCUCCUCCUAAAGAGUAACGGAGGAGUACGAAGGUGCGCUCAGCGUGGUCGGAAAUCACGCGUAGAGUAUAAAGGCAAAAGCGCGCUUAACUGCGAGACCCACAAGUCGAGCAGGUACGAAAGUAGGUCUUAGUGAUCCGGUGGUUCUGUAUGGAAGGGCCAUCGCUCAACGGAUAAAAGGUACUCUGGGGAUAACAGGCUGAUACCGCCCAAGAGUUCAUAUCGACGGCGGUGUUUGGCACCUCGAUGUCGGCUCAUCUCAUCCUGGGGCUGAAGCAGGUCCCAAGGGUAUGGCUGUUCGCCAUUUAAAGAGGUACGCGAGCUGGGUUUAGAACGUCGUGAGACAGUUCGGUCCCUAUCU
This 1110-nucleotide ribosomal RNA is filed under the name Salmonella enterica subsp. enterica serovar Typhimurium. Its description in RNAcentral is "partial 23S ribosomal RNA". It matches the Rfam family "Bacterial large subunit ribosomal RNA", at positions 1552 to 2643 of the family's 2925-position model. The record is from RNAcentral. Lineage: Bacteria; Pseudomonadati; Pseudomonadota; Gammaproteobacteria; Enterobacterales; Enterobacteriaceae.